AUUCUGACUUAACCAAAUUCUGAAAAAAUCUUGCUUGUAGGGUUUGAUUGCAGAUGAUUUUAACAGAAAAAGCAAAUAGGUAAAAAUGAUGAUACUUCACUUUAUAUGUGAUACAUGUUUGACUCCUAAAAAAUAUUUCCAUUUUUCUUUAGAAACAUAAAAUCACGUGGUUUAUGGUUUGACAUAUGAAGAACCUGGAAGUCAUUACAAUCAUCCUCAGAACAACAACAACAACAAAAUUUUAAUAAUCUGAAAAUCAACCUCAGAAAGUGAGGAGAAGGGUGAUCUGUAGGAAUCAAUCCUUAGUGUAGACAGAAGCCCAGGAAAGGCUGCCCACCCACUGAAGUCAGCACUGCUAAGACAUGUGGUUUAGCAUUUGUCAUUAAUUUUGGGAGAUUCUCAGUCACCAUUACUUCAAAUGAGCAAGUAAGAUUCAUAUUGGGUAUGCAAGUCUGGUUCAACAGCCAACUGUGAGCCAUGUAUUCCAGCACAUCAGCAGCGGAGGGAAGAACAGAAAUUCUAUGCAGAAAUACCACACUCUUUCGUGAUUUAAAAACAAAACAACCUCAGUCAAGGAGGAAUAGAUUGGGAGCUCCUCAGCCUUACAUAAAACACCUCCAGGUAAGGUGUAAUUAAGGUUAAGUGAGGUCCUAAGUGUGGGCCCUCAUAGAAUCUGAACAACAUCUUUAUAAGAAGAGGAGGAAAGACCAAGGAUGUACACAAAGAAAAGUCCAGAUGAGGACACAAAGAAGACAGCUCUUUAUAAGCCAAGGGAGAGGACUUAGGAGAAACUAUGGCAGCCCACACCUUGAUCCUGGACUUGCAUCCUCCUGAACUGCAGAAGGUGAAUCUCCAUUAGGUCCCCAGUCUGUGGUACUUUUUUUAUAACAGCCCCAGUGAACUGGUGCAGUGCCAGAACUUACAUGAAAGAGUUGUUCAGCUCUUAUCUUUUCCUCAAUAUUAUACAAUUCCAAUGAGAUUGUUGCCAUAUUAUAGCAUCCACAGGAGUGCCUGAGACCUCACAAGUCUGAGAGGAGUGGUUGGUCCACAAUUUGAUCCAGGGCAUUUGGGUUUGAGUUAGUUUUGAUUACAUACAAAAAAAAACUUUCUUGUAAAUAUUUUUCUACUCAGAUAACAUGAAACCACUGUACAGCAUGAAUGUAAUGUGGAAUACUUAUGGUAUACAAAAUAAAAGCUGUUCGCUAGUAAUUUGCUUUCAUCUUCUGCAAGUGCAAGUGCGUAACGUAUAGCAAGGUAUCUGAUAAGUUGUAGUAAAACUUGGUCAUGAUGGACAUCAUCAUAGAGUUGGGAAUGGCUAUAUUUCACCUUAAUUGUCC
Molecule: long non-coding RNA, 1337 nt
Filed under: Marmota monax (woodchuck)
Lineage: Eukaryota; Metazoa; Chordata; Mammalia; Rodentia; Sciuridae
Source: RNAcentral